This 1188-nucleotide long non-coding RNA is filed under the name Carica papaya (papaya). RNAcentral's name for it is "long non-coding RNA (CPAP_LNC000805)". The record is from RNAcentral. Lineage: Eukaryota; Viridiplantae; Streptophyta; Magnoliopsida; Brassicales; Caricaceae.
CGGAAGCGAAAUAAAAUAGAUUAUGAUUAAUAUUUCUUACACAAUAACCAAAACAAAUUAAACGUAUGAAAAAAUAAACUAACUUAAAGGAAAUAUUAUGAAUGAAUGCUAUAAAAAAAACUAAUAAAUUCUUUGGCUUCUACUCGCCAUCUUCCUGCAGAACGGGCUCGGGAACCAAGUUCUCAUGAUCUAAAAUGGUUAAGUAAGGAAUGAGUUACACUAACCCAAUAAAGACAUCACACUAUCUCACUGUCACAGAAGUAAAGGUUGGUAGAAAACAAAAACGACCAAUGGAACAUAAUUUAUAACAAACUCAUUUAUCAAUAAUAAAAACCUUUACUGUCCCCUUACCUCAGUAACAUUCAUGAAAACAACUUAUGAGAAACAAUAACAUCAUAAGAUCAUGCACACUCUGUAACAUAACGCAUAUCAUACUUUUGUAUUUCAAUCAUCAGGCAACAAAUUUCCUCUUUUAUCAGCCUACUAGUAUCCAUGGGGAUCCACAGGGGGUCCCCGCUACACGUGAACCAUUCACAUUAAUAACUUAAUUCCAGGGCCAUCCCCAUACCCCGUCCGAUAUGGGCGUCAAAACCAUAAACCUCAAUACCCCGUCCGGUAUGAGGGUGAAACGGGCUGUCCCCAUACCCCGUCCGAUAUGGGCGCCAAAACACAUAAAGUCUUCAUACCCCGUCCGAUAUGAGAGACCACGUUCCCGGUAGGGUUCCCUAUGGACCUGGUCCGUCCACCAUCUCUCAAGAUAUCUAGUCAGGCUGUCGACAUUAUCCAUUUAUCAAUUCGCAUACCUUUUUUCAUUCUUUUCUUAAUCUUAAUUAUCCAAUCAAAUAUAAACAUGUAAACCAAUAAUGGACACCAAACAAGGCAACACAACAUCGGGUUCACAAUAAUUCAAAUCAUAAUAAAUGAAACCGUGAUUCAUGCAUAUGAAAUCAUAGAAUAAACACAUCAGGCACCAUACUUCAUUUAAAACUGUAAAAUAAAUCAAACAAUAACUGACCGAAAAAUACAUCAAAUUCGUGCCCCAUUAGACACCUUAAUUAAUUAUACAUAUAUAUUAAUUCAUAAAUACUGUUUUAUCAUUUAUUAAGCUUUAAUGCCGUAAUAGGAAAUAGGGUGAGAGAUCCUUACUUGUUUUGGAGUCUGAAAUCGGGUUCUCACUGCGCUUACGGG